This 1358-nucleotide ribosomal RNA is filed under the name uncultured bacterium. Its description in RNAcentral is "bacterial SSU rRNA". It matches the Rfam family "Bacterial small subunit ribosomal RNA", at positions 28 to 1381 of the family's 1533-position model. The record is from RNAcentral.
GAUGAACUCUAGCUACAGGCUUAACACAUGCAAGUCGAGGGGCAGCAUGGUCUUAGCUUGCUAAGGCCGAUGGCGACCGGCGCACGGGUGAGUAACACGUAUCCAACCUGCCGUCUACUCUUGGACAGCCUUCUGAAAGGAAGAUUAAUACAAGAUGGCAUCAUGAGUCCGCAUGUUCACAUGAUUAAAGGUAUUCCGGUAGACGAUGGGGAUGCGUUCCAUUAGAUAGUAGGCGGGGUAACGGCCCACCUAGUCUUCGAUGGAUAGGGGUUCUGAGAGGAAGGUCCCCCACAUUGGAACUGAGACACGGUCCAAACUCCUACGGGAGGCAGCAGUGAGGAAUAUUGGUCAAUGGGCGAGAGCCUGAACCAGCCAAGUAGCGUGAAGGAUGACUGCCCUAUGGGUUGUAAACUUCUUUUAUAAAGGAAUAAAGUCGGGUAUGGAUACCCGUUUGCAUGUACUUUAUGAAUAAGGAUCGGCUAACUCCGUGCCAGCAGCCGCGGUAAUACGGAGGAUCCGAGCGUUAUCCGGAUUUAUUGGGUUUAAAGGGAGCGUAGAUGGAUGUUUAAGUCAGUUGUGAAAGUUUGCGGCUCAACCGUAAAAUUGCAGUUGAUACUGGAUAUCUUGAGUGCAGUUGAGGCAGGCGGAAUUCGUGGUGUAGCGGUGAAAUGCUUAGAUAUCACGAAGAACUCCGAUUGCGAAGGCAGCCUGCUAAGCUGCAACUGACAUUGAGGCUCGAAAGUGUGGGUAUCAAACAGGAUUAGAUACCCUGGUAGUCCACACGGUAAACGAUGAAUACUCGCUGUUUGCGAUAUACAGCAAGCGGCCAAGCGAAAGCGUUAAGUAUUCCACCUGGGGAGUACGCCGGCAACGGUGAAACUCAAAGGAAUUGACGGGGGCCCGCACAAGCGGAGGAACAUGUGGUUUAAUUCGAUGAUACGCGAGGAACCUUACCCGGGCUUAAAUUGCAGAUGAAUUACGGUGAAAGCCGUAAGCCGCAAGGCAUCUGUGAAGGUGCUGCAUGGUUGUCGUCAGCUCGUGCCGUGAGGUGUCGGCUUAAGUGCCAUAACGAGCGCAACCCUUGUUGUCAGUUACUAACAGGUUCCGCUGAGGACUCUGACAAGACUGCCAUCGUAAGAUGUGAGGAAGGUGGGGAUGACGUCAAAUCAGCACGGCCCUUACGUCCGGGGCUACACACGUGUUACAAUGGGGGGUACAGAGGGCCGCUACCACGCGAGUGGAUGCCAAUCCCAAAAACCUCUCUCAGUUCGGACUGGAGUCUGCAACCCGACUCCACGAAGCUGGAUUCGCUAGUAAUCGCGCAUCAGCCACGGCGCGGUGAAUACGUUCCCGGGCCU